This 267-nucleotide long non-coding RNA is filed under the name Bos taurus (domestic cattle). RNAcentral's name for it is "long non-coding RNA NONBTAT014959". The record is from RNAcentral. Lineage: Eukaryota; Metazoa; Chordata; Mammalia; Artiodactyla; Bovidae.
AAAACUGCAUUUGGGGAUCACCUCUGGCCCCUUAUUCUGCCUGUCUAGCCCUGGGCCCCAUGGAGUCCCUAACGCAUCCUUGCUUCUACUAAGGGUGCAGUUUUCGCUCCUAAGACAGUGGACAUAACUUUAAUUACCCAAGGUCCUCAGCAACCCUUUCCCCAUUUUCCUCCAAUACUUUGCCAACUUUUCUGUUGUUUGAGUUUUAUUGCUAAUCACUUAAAUUAGAGAAACAGAUUAGCAAAGGAGUUAAUAAAAUAUAUAAUG